Molecule: long non-coding RNA, 484 nt
Organism: Hippocampus comes (tiger tail seahorse)
Lineage: Eukaryota; Metazoa; Chordata; Actinopteri; Syngnathiformes; Syngnathidae
Exons: 2
Source: RefSeq, a predicted model, not a curated record
UAUGCUCCUCACAGGUAUCCGCUUGCUAUUGUUCAUCAAUCCACCAUCCUCCCUGCUCCAGCCAGCAGCAGCAGCAGCACUACCGCCCGCCUCUAAACCAUUUGCCGCAUAACGGCCUUCACAGCCAAACCCUGUCCCAGCAGCAAGGAGCGUCUGUUCUGUCACCUCCUUGCUGCCGCCAGCUCAUAUUCGCACACGCGCACACACACACACACACACACACACACACACACACACACACACACAUACAAAUGUGCACACAUGUUCUAUAUGUGACUCCAGCAGCGUUUCCCUACUCGGGUUCAUUAAUUGGACAAGCUCGGAUGCCAUACAACAGCAAAUGAAGUAAAUUAUAUAUAAGUGAAAAAUAACUUGUGUCCCUGAUGUCUUUAUAAUUACUGCAAGGAAAAGCAGGCACUGCAAGAUGUAUGUGCUAAAGCCUAAAUAGUGCAGGCACAUAACCCUUACUUGCAUAUAGGGUAGA